UGUUGGUGCUGUACAAGUAGGGGCCAUCCUCUCCUUCUGCUAUCUUCAGCUUCCACAUGCUGAGGUCUUCUCUUUUUCUCUCUUCGUUCAGCUGAUUAUAUCGAAACUCUCCUGUACUGUCCUUCCUGAUGAUCAUGCAAACGAACAAGUAAAACAACCCGCACAAGAAAAUGAUGAAUGAGUUGCCAGUUGCCACAAACCAAAAGUCAUCGAUGAACAAGGUCGCUAUAUAUCCAUGAACUAUGCUUGUUCUCUAAGGUUAUGUCACCAUGUGCAUGCAUAUCGCAUUAUAGAUAUCAAAAUAUAUCCCGCAGCGAUCUUGGUUUAGCAUGGCUAAAGCAUGAACUUAUCACACAGACAUACAGACAGAGAGAGACACCUCUUUUGACUGUGAGGGAUAUGUGAGAGUUGUUGAGAAAAUAAUCAAG
This 428-nucleotide long non-coding RNA is filed under the name Eucalyptus grandis. RNAcentral describes it as "long non-coding RNA (EGRA_LNC003881)". The record is from RNAcentral. Lineage: Eukaryota; Viridiplantae; Streptophyta; Magnoliopsida; Myrtales; Myrtaceae.